Molecule: transfer RNA, 72 nt
Filed under: Heterocephalus glaber (naked mole-rat)
Lineage: Eukaryota; Metazoa; Chordata; Mammalia; Rodentia; Bathyergidae
Rfam family: tRNA
About the family: Transfer RNA (tRNA) molecules are approximately 80 nucleotides in length. Their secondary structure includes four short double-helical elements and three loops (D, anti-codon, and T loops).
Source: Rfam by way of RNAcentral
UGGGAUGUAGCUCAGUGAUAGAGCAUUUGUCUAUAAUGCAAGAGGCCCUGGGUUCAAUCCCUAGUAGUGCAA